This 497-nucleotide ribosomal RNA is filed under the name uncultured bacterium. Its description in RNAcentral is "partial 16S ribosomal RNA". It matches the Rfam family "Bacterial small subunit ribosomal RNA", at positions 28 to 507 of the family's 1533-position model. The record is from RNAcentral.
GACGAACGCUGGCGGCGUGCCUAAUACAUGCAAGUUGAGCGAUGAAGAUUGGUGCUUGCACCCAUUUGAAGAGCAGCGAACGGGUGAGUAACGCGUGGGGAAUCUGCCUUUGAGCGGGGGACAACAUUUGGAAACGAAUGCUAAUACCGCAUAACAACUUUAAACAUAAGUUUUAAGUUUGAAAGAUGCAAUUGCAUCACUCAAAGAUGAUCCCGCGUUGUAUUAGCUAGUUGGUGAGGUAAAGGCUCACCAAGGCGAUGAUACAUAGCCGACCUGAGAGGGUGAUCGGCCACAUUGGGACUGAGACACGGCCCAAACUCCUACGGGAGGCAGCAGUAGGGAAUCUUCGGCAAUGGACGAAAGUCUGGCCGAGCAACGCCGCGUGAGUGAAGAAGGGUUUCGGAUCGUAAAACUCUGUUGGUAGAGAAGAACGUUGGUGAGAGUGGAAAGCUCAUCAAGUGACGGUAACUACCCAGAAAGGGACGGCUAACUACGUG